RNAcentral lists this long non-coding RNA (502 nucleotides) under Monodelphis domestica (gray short-tailed opossum). Its description in RNAcentral is "lncRNA (ENSMODG00000042363.1)". Lineage: Eukaryota; Metazoa; Chordata; Mammalia; Didelphimorphia; Didelphidae. The record is from RNAcentral.
CCUUGGAAUGAAAGGAUUCUAGGAUCAUAGUUUCAGUAGUGAAAGGAACCUUAGAGGCCAUCAGGUCAAAUCAUCUUCUUUUCUUACAGGAUUCCACAUAUCAUUCUCCUGCCUGCCUUGCUAUUACCUAUUAGUCACAGAGGAGCUGAUAAGAAUCAUUCCAAGAUCCGAUCCAUGGCAUUUACUUGGCAGGACAAGAUAUUCACAAAAAAGCCAUUUCAGAGGGCUAAUGAAGCACAAAACUAAACCUGAUUAAUGCCACAAAGAGCACACAGGAUAUCUUAGUGUGAAGACUCAAGGUUACGACAUUUAACAUACGUUAAGACGUUGCCCUUCCUUGUAUCCACACACUCUGAAAAUACUUACAGAUGAGUAUCUCUAACUUGGCUCCUACUUGGCUUCUAUAAUCUCAUCCCUUUUCUGUCUUUCAUAGUGUUUCAAACUUUCUGUAGUCCUGGCUACUGACUGGGUAAUUUCUUACUUGCUUAGAUCAUUUUAAUUG